AUUGAACGCUGGCGGCAGGCUUAACACAUGCAAGUCGAGCGGGGUGAUGGUGCUUGCACUAUCACUUAGCGGCGGACGGGUGAGUAAUGCUUAGGAAUCUGCCUAUUAGUGGGGGACAACAUCUCGAAAGGGAUGCUAAUACCGCAUACGUCCUACGGGAGAAAGCAGGGGAUCACUUGUGACCUUGCGCUAAUAGAUGAGCCUAAGUCGGAUUAGCUAGUCGGUGGGGUAAAGGCCUACCAAGGCGACGAUCUGUAGCGGGUCUGAGAGGAUGAUCCGCCACACUGGGACUGAGACACGGCCCAGACUCCUACGGGAGGCAGCAGUGGGGAAUAUUGGACAAUGGGGGGAACCCUGAUCCAGCCAUGCCGCGUGUGUGAAGAAGGCCUUAUGGUUGUAAGGCACUUUAAGCGAGGAGGAGGCUCUUUUGGUUAAUACCCAGAAUGAGUGGACGUUACUCGCAGAAUAAGCACCGGCUAACUCUGUGCCAGCCGCCGCCGUAA
This 503-nucleotide ribosomal RNA is filed under the name uncultured bacterium. RNAcentral describes it as "partial 16S ribosomal RNA". It matches the Rfam family "Bacterial small subunit ribosomal RNA", at positions 30 to 523 of the family's 1533-position model. The record is from RNAcentral.